UACGUAGGUGGCAAGCGUUGUCCGGAUUUAUUGGGCGUAAAGGGAACGCAGGCGGUCUUUUAAGUUUGAUGUGAAAGCCUUCGGCUUAACCGGAGUAGUGCAUUGGAAACUGGGAGACUUGAGUGCAGAAGAGGAGAGUGGAACUCCAUGUGUAGCGGUGAAAUGCGUAGAUAUAUGGAAGAACACCAGUGGCGAAGGCGACUUUCUGGACCGUAACUGACGUUGAGGCACGAAAGUGUGGGGAGCAAACAGG
Molecule: ribosomal RNA, 253 nt
Filed under: uncultured bacterium
Lineage: Bacteria
Description: partial 16S ribosomal RNA
Rfam family: Bacterial small subunit ribosomal RNA
Source: RNAcentral